UCCCUGGUGGUCCAGUGGAUAGAAAUCUGCCUGCCAAGCAGGGGACACAGGUUCAAUCUCUGGCCGGGGAA
RNAcentral lists this transfer RNA (71 nucleotides) under Capra hircus (goat). It matches the Rfam family "tRNA". Rfam says of the family: Transfer RNA (tRNA) molecules are approximately 80 nucleotides in length. The record is from Rfam by way of RNAcentral. RNAcentral also lists the same sequence under 1 other name. Lineage: Eukaryota; Metazoa; Chordata; Mammalia; Artiodactyla; Bovidae.